CCUCCUUCUUCUUCUCUCUUUCUCCUUCUUUCUUUUUUUUCCCUUUCUCUCCUCCUGUCGCUUCCGUCAGUUGUGAAAGUUUGCGGCUCAACCGUAAAAUUGCAGUUGAUACUGGUUUCCUUGAGUGCAGUUGAGGCAGGCGGAAUUCGUGGUGUAGCGGUGAAAUGCUUAGAUAUCACGAAGAACCCCGAUUGCGAAGGCAGCUUGCUAAACUGUAACUGACGUUCAUGCUCGAAAGUGUGGGUAUCAAACAGG
This 255-nucleotide ribosomal RNA is filed under the name Phocaeicola coprocola DSM 17136. RNAcentral describes it as "partial 16S ribosomal RNA". The stretch from base 55 to 255 matches the Rfam family "Bacterial small subunit ribosomal RNA", at positions 567 to 776 of the family's 1533-position model. Lineage: Bacteria; Pseudomonadati; Bacteroidota; Bacteroidia; Bacteroidales; Bacteroidaceae. The record is from RNAcentral.